Long non-coding RNA from Passer domesticus (house sparrow), 4646 nucleotides. RefSeq lists it as uncharacterized. The record is from RefSeq and is a predicted model, not a curated record. NCBI's taxonomy places the organism in Eukaryota, Metazoa, Chordata, Aves, Passeriformes, Passeridae. The transcript has 2 exons.
CCCCUCCCCGGGGCUGUCCCGGCGCUCUGGGAUGCCAUCCUGCUUUCCCACGGGUGCCAUCGCCCCCGAUCCCUCCGGCCCCGCCGCUGAGGUCGGAGGGGGAUGAGCAUCGCUGCGCUUCCCUCGACGGGAGCGCCAAGGGAGGAAUUCGCUUAAACUCUCUUCUAGAAGUGUAGUUUUGCCGCCCGUCUCCCAACAGCCGCCGUUCAUUAACUUUGGAUAAGGAAUUGCCCGAAAUUAAACAAACAAACCCCGCCGGUGUCUUCGCUCGUACCGCGGGCGGAAGGGGCUGCAGGGCGCGGGGCGAGAUUUGGUGAAUAAAAGUCAUUUUCGCCUUAGUGCUCCGGGGCAGCCUGAACGAAAAGCGCAUCCUUUUGCCGAGAAAAAGCUCUCGGUGUUCAUAACGAUCCCGACACCCGGGAUCUAACAGGGGCCAGCUCCGGCAAAUCUUCUGGUCCGGGGCAAAGCACACGUGUAACAACAAAAAUACAGUCAAUGGAGCGGGAUGGUUUAGAGACUUUGUCUAAAUACCAGGUACAUGAGAUGUACAUUUCAUCCCCCGUUCUUAAAAGGAGUUGUUAUUCAGUUUUCUGCUGGUAAAAAUUACAAAAAGAAAAAUAGUGCCCUUUCCUGGUGUAUACACGAAGCGCUCUCUGCAAGCGCCGGGUGUCUUGGUCUGACAACAGGAUUUGGGGCAGAGAGGAGCGUUUGGGAAAAGUCUUUGCAUUUUAUGUCUUCCAUAAAAUAUCUAUAAAAGCACAUGUAAACCAGUGAAGCUUUCCCGAGCUGACUUCAAUCCCAAAUUUUCAUCCCGUGCGUGAUUUGAGCAGGGAAAUAAUAGCCGAAGGAUUUCCAACUUUGUAUUUCGUUUUGAAACAAGUGAAAAAACCUUUUUUGAGACAGAAAAUAACUGAAAAAAGUGUCUGGGUUAAAGAAUUAGGAUUUGGGGUUUUUUUCACUUUAAUCAUAAAGAGUUGUUUUGGGGGGGGUUGUUGGUUUUUUUUUUUGUUUUUUUUUGUUUCUUGGAUUUUUGUGUGUGUGCGCGCGUGUGGUUUUUUUUUUUUUCUUUUUCUGUUGUUAUUUUGUUUGUCACUGUUGCUUUUGCUGAUUUUAUUCUGCACCCCUUGGGAAAACAGCUUUCCGUGUAUAUUUGGAUGCCCAGAACAGCAGGAGAAAAUUUUACAUUACGUUUCACAAGGUGCUUUUUCCCUUCUCAGAUUCCUUCUCUUUAAGAUUUAUAACAGCUCCUCAUCUUUUUUAGAGCAGGGUCGCGGCGGAAAAUGCCGGUUUGAAUUCUGACGGGACAGCAGGCAUCCAAAACAAACAGUUUACAGAGGAAUCACAGCUAGAAAGGACAUUUAAAGGACAAGAAACAGGUAGACUUUUAAGAAGCAAUUUUCCUCUAAGUCUGAAGAGCUAAGCCGAAAAUAUUAUUCUCUAAAAUUGCAACAAAUCUGUGUUUAUCCGUUUGGCCAAAACCCCCGCGAUCGUUGCAGCAGGGAGAGGAGCAGUCAGUGGUAUCGCCGUAUCGCUCGAAAUUGAGGUUUUUGCUCCAGGGAUUUGAUGUUUUUGGGCAAAGGCAGAGCCAUCUAGAGGAGCAGCCCGGCUAUGGCGAGGCGGGGAAGGCAGUUUCCCUCACAGGCAUGGGGUGCUGCUGCCUUCGAGCUUCCCUUAGCUGAUUUGUCUGCCUCCAACAAAGGAAACGGGUUAGAAAAUAAUGCUGAAUUAGCUCUAAUAAAAACGCGUGUCCUCAGAAAACUCCAGCUUGCUUUACCAAAUAGUAAGGAAUGUGAAACAAAAAUAGCUUUAGAGAGGUUAUUACAUAGCUGGGAUGGCAUGGAUAUACAAACCAGCACUUAAUUUAAAGAGUGGAGAGAAUAAAGCUUUGAUGCUGUGACGGCUGUAAAAACAUUUAAUUUUCUUAAUGCAUUUAUCCUGCAAGUAGCACGCAGGGUUGCCUCGAAACAUCAUCAGCUCUCAGUACAGACCUGUUGCUGUUCCCUUCUGCCAAGGCAUGAGGAGAGCAUGAGGAGAUCCAGCACUCUGCCUCUCUGCUCUCUAAAUGCUGGGUUUUUUCUGGAGAGCUCUGGGAGACGUUUGCCUUGCAGAAACACACCAGGGAGCUGGCGAGAGAUGACGAAACACCAAACUGAAAUCAGUUUCAAGGUAGGAGUCUGAGGCCAGCGUCCAUCACUGGGAGCAGAUUGGGGCUGGGUUUCAGCAGCUUUGUUGGCUCUGUGAGUGGGCAGUGAAGUGUUCUGGACAGAGGAGCCUGUGGCACCUCGAGCUGGGCUGAGCUGUAUCCCCAGCCAGCUGGGGUUAAGUGCAAACCUCUCCAGCCAGCUGCCUUGGAAAGUGUUUCAAGGCUUCCCAAGUGCUGCAGGAGAGCAAGGUACUCCCCAUCUUUGCCUGGUGCCAUCCCCACCGUUGGCUCAGGUGCUGUGCCUGUCCUUGUCACGCACGCAGCACACACUUUUCCCCCUGCAGGAAGACACUGGCUGUGCCUCUGGGGCCCUGCUCCUCUGAACGUGUAGGUACAGGCUCCACUUUCCUGGUGUGGAUCUCAGGUGUGUGUGCAGCUGAACACAGAAACCUGAAAAAGCUUCAGAGCUGAGUGCCCAGCCCAGCAGGGGAACAGAGACCUGCGCCCACCUGGACCUCUCUGCGUUUCCCAAGGAUGCUGAGCUCUGGGAACGGGGUGUGUGUUGGGGGAACAGAACACAAUAGCCCAUAUUGGCUUCUCUUGGCUUUACUAGGAGGAUAGAGAAACCAGGACCCCUUCAAUGGCUCCAGAUCUCUGCAGAGUGAUCAGUGAAAUUUGGAAUGAGUUCUUCAUCGUCAGAGGCAAGAUGAAAAAAUCAUCUUUUCUCUUGAAGUACUCCCGUCUCUCCACCCUCAAGAACAAUAAAGAACUGACUAAGAGCAGCUCAAAUUAAAUUUAAGAUCUAGUAUCCCUCCCUUCCUUAGAGCCAAGCAUUUUUCUCCCUAUUCCUCCCUAUUAAUAUGCUAUAAGAACAUCUCUUUUUUUCACUCAACCCCUGAUUUGUCCUGCAAGUGCCUAACAGAGAAUAUCUGAUGGUGUGCAAUAGAUGUUUUACUGCUGUGAAUUUGGGAGGGGUGUUCUGUGUACGUGUACACAGGUUAAAGUAAUUUUUUAUCCCUUACCUAAAGAGAAUGAUGUAUAUUCCUCUCUCUGUAUCUAGUCAUCUACUGGACUGAAGUUCUGGCAAUCUAAUUUUGCCAGCUCUCCUUAUGGUAAGAUCAGAGGUUUUCAAACCUUUUCCUGAUUUUUCAGACUCUACCAUGUUUCCUGGGGAGGUGUCCUCAGCCCACCAUGUUCAGGCUACCAGCAACAGGCUUGGUUUGGUUGUGAGUUCAUGGUCUAUCUUAAACUCUGCAGGCUGCAAACUGAGGGUUUAUAUUUUGGAUUAUUUAUAUUAAUAUUUUCUCAGUGCAAUUGUAUGUUGCUGAGUGUCAUGGAGCCACAAAACAAGGAUUAAAUAAUAGUUCAUCACAAGCUGUAGAUGCUGCAGCACUUUGGGCUGCUGGGAGCAAAUCCUGGUUGAAAGGAGCAGUGUCUGCUCUGUGUCCACUUCUCACUGGUUUUUAUGGCUGCUGUGCUCUCACAAGUGUUUCUGUGGCUGACUGCGGCACUAAUCCGGUUUGAGAAGAACACUCUCUUCCCAAUCCUUUUCUUUCCCCCUUUUUCUUAUCCCCUCAGGUUAGCUUUAGCCUGGGCCUGCCUAGCUCCUUCCUGAGAGCUUGUUAGAGACUGAUUACUGAAGUUUUGAUGAAAGCUUCAUUGUUUGUAACCCCUGUAAAGUACCCCGAGCUGUGCUCCCAAUAAAAGCGGGAUUAAAUAGACACCUCCGGAGUGAGACAGUUGCAAGUGGGAAUUUCAGAGUUUUGAAGGAUUGAGGGAUGUGGCCAGGCUUCAGUAACUCUGUGUAUCAGAAGUGAUUUUACCAGAACUGGGAAAGAAGCCUGACUUUUGUGUUUAGGGGGGAAAGGAACCUGGUGGGAGACAGAAGUCACCUGUUUGUGGCUGGAUUAAGCACACGCUCCGGGGGUUUGGAAACACGUUUGCAGAAGUUCUCAGCACCCUGCAUUCCUCCAGCCUCUCCUCAGGCUUAAGUUCAUAAAAAAGUAUUUUAAAAUUCUCACUCUGAUCACAUGAAUUGAAUCCUUCCUUGUUUUAUUUUUUGCAACAGUAAAAAAGUCCACUUGGCAAUGAUGUGUGCUUGACUUGGUACUUUUGGGUUGUGUCUUUUCUGGGAGGAAUGUUAAGCAAAGGGCUUCAUCCCUUCUGCCUAGAGCAAGAAACUGACCUGGGCUGAAAUAAAGAAUCUCUGUGCUUUUUGAAUGUUUUUUUUUGUGUGUAAUGGGAUAUUUGAAAUAGAGUUUGGUGCUCUGGGCUGGUUAUUCUAUAGUGAUCACUCCUACAGGGUCCAAAAUCUUUUGGUCCUUAUUCGUCUGAAUGAGCCACCUCCACUCUGGAACGAGUAAUAGAAACAGAAAAACAUAAAUUUAUGGUCAGCUAAGGUAAAAAAUAAUCAAAACUGUUAGUAGAUAAAGGCAGUGGCUGCCAUCACCACCACCACAAGGAAAUGGAGGAGUAUUAAAUUAGUAUUUCUUUUCUAUGUUUG